GGUUGUGGCUCACCGGUAGAGCACUCGCCUAGCAUGUGUGAGGCCCUGGGUUCAAUCCUCAGCAACACA
RNAcentral lists this transfer RNA (69 nucleotides) under Marmota monax (woodchuck). RNAcentral's name for it is "tRNA.Ala". It matches the Rfam family "tRNA". From Rfam's summary of the family: Transfer RNA (tRNA) molecules are approximately 80 nucleotides in length. The record is from RNAcentral. Lineage: Eukaryota; Metazoa; Chordata; Mammalia; Rodentia; Sciuridae.